RNAcentral lists this ribosomal RNA (77 nucleotides) under Staphylococcus aureus. Lineage: Bacteria; Bacillati; Bacillota; Bacilli; Caryophanales; Staphylococcaceae. The record is from RNAcentral. RNAcentral also lists the same sequence under 1 other name.
UCUGGUGACUAUAGCAAGGAGGUCACACCUGUUCCCAUGCCGAACACAGAAGUUAAGCUCCUUAGCGUCGAUGGUAG